Non-coding RNA from Delphinapterus leucas (beluga whale), 1891 nucleotides. Lineage: Eukaryota; Metazoa; Chordata; Mammalia; Artiodactyla; Monodontidae. The record is from RefSeq and is a predicted model, not a curated record.
CGCCCCCGCCCCGAGCGAGCGCAAGCAGCCGGCUGGACCCGCACAGCUGAUGGUCGGUACCACCCUCGCGGGCUGAGGCGGGGCGCGAGGAGGGAAGGACCCCGGAGUGGUACCACCCUCGCGCCCUCCCCGGCCGAGCCGGCCCCGGCCCCUCGCGCUGGAGCUGGGCUGCGGGCGGGGCGACACCGCCAGGCCUCGCUCUCGGGAGUUAAAGCCCUCCAACCCCCACCCCGCCUCCAUCCAGGCCGUUCCUGGCGCCCAGCCUGGCAGCCUUUCUCAAAGGGCGGAGGGAGGUGUGAGAGGCGGCGGGAGGGCCCUGGACUUGGAGGGGCGUCUCCUUGAGGUGAACGUGGGAAGAGAAAGCAACCCAGGUGGCCCUUGACCUGCCCACUGCUCCCUGACUGCUCCCCCAAGCCCAUUACCCCCAGUCCCUCUGGAGCCCCUUACGAUCUGGGCUGGGGUCAGUCGAAGAGCAAGGCCUAGGUCCCCCAGAUCCCCCAGCUCUGGCCCUGUGCUCUCUUUAGGCAGCCUCUCCGGAUUCCCAGGCCCCAGGAGAUGGACCGCCUUCCUCAAGUCCUGUCACACUUCUUCCGGUCUAACCCGGAGGCUCUUCUUGAUGUGUGCAUGCCUUCGUGUGCCCAGCUGACGCUACGUGCCCGUCAUGAGCUCCUGUGUUUCGCUAGGCGCUGUUCUGGGCGCCAGGAUGUAGCAGGAAAUACAGCCGCUGGCAGAGUUAACUUUGAUGAGGCCCUUUGUGUGUGCCAGGCGCUGUUUGGAGUCUUCGCGGGCAGUAACAAACUCCAUGACGUAAGGCUCGUUCCAGGACUCAGCGCUGCUCAUCACCCGGAUCGGCAGGUGGAGAGCCAGGGAGAACCGUUGGAGCGGCUCUUCACAGCCGAGGGCCAGGGAGGCCCCUGUGAGAGGUCACGGUCCAGCCGGGACCCACGGCUGCGUGUGGAGCUGGAGGCUGGGGCAGGAGUGGGGAUGGCAGCCGGCAAAGCUGGGGGGAGGGGGAUCCCUGCGUUUGAGAAACAAAAUCGAGCAAGUGCCGGGGAGUGGAGACCAGGGACAGCGCGGUGGGAGCUGGGGUUUGAGGACGCGCGUGUGUGCCUGACCCCCGCACUCCUGUCUUCCAGGGAGGAGUGUUCAGGAACAUGACGGGUGUGGUCCUGACUCCCCUGCCCGGCCCCCCAACGGCCAGGCGGGGGUGGAGGUGCACAUCCCAGACCUUCGGGGUCGGCAGAGCUUCUGCCGAAGUGACUCCCUGCCCCUGAGCCAACACUCACCCUCCGCCCUGGGAUUUGGAAGAGCUGGGGCAGCAGCCAGGUCUUCCCUAUGGGAACUCCUUCAUUCCUUCAGCCACCUGCCAGCAGCUCCAAUCGGUGCUGAAAAGAGGGAAGCGAAAACCCAGCUCCUGCUUUCAGCCCGAUGGCCCCCUCCCUCAAGCCUUAGGUUUCUGUGUUUCAGCUUCGCCGUCUGCUCCUCCCCACGUGAAUCCCCUGGACUCUUCGCAAGGAAGGAAGAGAAAUACGGAGGGACGGGUUGUCUGUGUGUGUGUGUGUGUGUGUGACAGGGGCAGACCGAGACCUGGGCAAGGACGGCUGCUGACAGCACACACAGGAGCAGAGGAGGGGCAGCCGUGGGCAGAGGCCCCCACUUUCCCUUUGUCGUUACCCGAGAUGCUGGGUGUGAUGACGUUCUGGGUGGGAGAGGAGGAAGAGGAGAGUAAAACAGUCGCAGGGAAGUUUCAGACUUAGAGGAGUGAGUUUUCUACCAGGCACCUUCUGAAAGAGAAGUUUUGCAUUAAAAGGUUUGAGAAACCUUUUUGUGCUCAGUGUAUCAGAAGCAGGUCUCUCUCCUCCCUCAGGAUUCCUCAGGCCUGUGAAUUCCU